Molecule: ribosomal RNA, 406 nt
Filed under: uncultured bacterium
Lineage: Bacteria
Description: partial 16S ribosomal RNA
Rfam family: Bacterial small subunit ribosomal RNA
Source: RNAcentral
GACGAACGCUGGCGGCGCGCUUAACACAUGCAAGUCGAGCGAAGCGGCGGACGGGUGAGUAACACGUGAGUAACCUGCCUUAGACAUUGGGAUAGCCUCGGGAAACCGGGAUUAAUACCAAAUGGUCUAAGAUGGGCUCGCGUCCGAUUAGCUAGUUGGUAGGUAACGGCCCACCAAGGCGACGAUGGGUAGCCGGCCGGGGAGGGGGAACGGCCACAUUGGAACGGAGAAACGGUCCAAACUCUACGGGAGGCAGCAGUGGGGAAUAGUGCACAAUGGAGGGAACUCUGAGGCAGCGACGCCGGGGGAACGAAGAAGGCUUUCGAGUCGUAAAGUUCUUUUAUAUGGGAAGCGGUACCAUAAGAAAAAGCCCCGGCUAACUACGAGCCAGCCGCCGCGGUAAUUC